This 433-nucleotide ribosomal RNA is filed under the name uncultured bacterium. RNAcentral's name for it is "partial 16S ribosomal RNA". It matches the Rfam family "Bacterial small subunit ribosomal RNA", at positions 29 to 507 of the family's 1533-position model. The record is from RNAcentral.
AACGAACGCUGGCGGCAGGCCUAACACAUGCAAGUCGAGCGAGGACUUCGGUCCUAGCGGCGGACGGGUGAGUAACGCGUGGGAACGUGCCCUUUGCUUCGGAAUAGCCCUGGGAAACUGGGAGUAAUACCGGAUGAGCCCUUUGGGGGAAAGAUUUAUCGGCGAAGGAUCGGCCCGCGUUGGAUUAGGUAGUUGGUGGGGUAAUGGCCUACCAAGCCGACGAUCCAUAGCUGGUUUGAGAGGAUGAUCAGCCACACUGGGACUGAGACACGGCCCAGACUCCUACGGGAGGCAGCAGUGGGGAAUCUUAGACAAUGGGGGAAACCCUGAUCUAGCCAUGCCGCGUGAGCGAAGAAGGCCUUAGGGUUGUAAAGCUCUUUCAGCUGGGAAGAUAAUGACGGUACCAGCAGAAGAAGCCCCGGCUAACUCCGUG